UACGGAAGGUCCGAGCGUUAUCCGGAUUUAUUGGGUUUAAAGGGAGCGUAGGCGGAAGCUUAAGUCAGCCGUUAAAUAACGGGGCUCAACCCCGUAGUGCGGUUGAAACUGGUCUUCUUGAGUGCACGAGAGGUAAGUGGAAUUCGUGGUGUAGCGGUGAAAUGCUUAGAUAUCACGAAGAACUCCGAUUGCGAAGGCAGCUUACUGGUGUGUUACUGACGCUGAUGCUCGAAGGUGCGGGUAUCAAACA
RNAcentral lists this ribosomal RNA (250 nucleotides) under uncultured prokaryote. RNAcentral's name for it is "partial 16S ribosomal RNA". It matches the Rfam family "Bacterial small subunit ribosomal RNA", at positions 524 to 774 of the family's 1533-position model. The record is from RNAcentral.